GGGUCGUUAGCUCAGGCGGUAGAGCAGUAGCCUUUUAAGCUAUUGGCCGCAGGUUCGACUCCUGCACGACCCACCA
This 76-nucleotide transfer RNA is filed under the name Desulfurella acetivorans. Its description in RNAcentral is "tRNA-Lys". It matches the Rfam family "tRNA". From Rfam's summary of the family: Transfer RNA (tRNA) molecules are approximately 80 nucleotides in length. Their secondary structure includes four short double-helical elements and three loops (D, anti-codon, and T loops). Further hydrogen bonds mediate the characteristic L-shaped molecular structure. tRNAs have two regions of fundamental functional importance: the anti-codon, which is responsible for specific mRNA codon recognition, and the 3' end, to which the tRNAs corresponding amino acid is attached (by aminoacyl-tRNA synthetases). tRNAs cope with the degeneracy of the genetic code in two manners: having more than one tRNA (with a specific anti-codon) for a particular amino acid; and 'wobble' base-pairing, i.e. permitting non-standard base-pairing at the 3rd anti-codon position. Lineage: Bacteria; Pseudomonadati; Campylobacterota; Desulfurellia; Desulfurellales; Desulfurellaceae. The record is from RNAcentral. RNAcentral also lists the same sequence under 4 other names.